GAGGACUGAAUGAUGAACUCAUAGUUCAACAGAUACUGAUGACGAUUUUAUCAUUAGUCUUUCGCAUUUACCUGACAGUUCCU
Small nucleolar RNA from Amblyraja radiata (thorny skate), 83 nucleotides. RefSeq annotates it as small nucleolar RNA snR60/Z15/Z230/Z193/J17. Lineage: Eukaryota; Metazoa; Chordata; Chondrichthyes; Rajiformes; Rajidae. The transcript has a single exon. The record is from RefSeq and is a predicted model, not a curated record.